Long non-coding RNA from Arabidopsis thaliana (thale cress), 402 nucleotides. RefSeq annotates it as other RNA. NCBI's taxonomy places the organism in Eukaryota, Viridiplantae, Streptophyta, Magnoliopsida, Brassicales, Brassicaceae. The record is from RefSeq. The transcript is spliced from 2 exons.
GCUCUUCUCUCUGGUCUGAUGUGUGUGUUUUUGGCUACAGAGAUGAUAAGAUUACGAAAUUGAAAUCGAAGCAAAAGAGAGAUUGAAGAAGAAAGAAAAAAAAAGAGAAAGACGAAGACUGGAGGAAUCUUUUUGGAAAUUCGUCUUACCACAAACACCCCUCCCUUUUAUCAGAUUAUUACGCUUCUGCCAUCACACGCUUUUAUUUUCUCUUCAAAUUCUCGUCAACACCGGUCAAAAUAUCAUUUGACUGUAGUUAUCAAUGUUCAAGAUUAUUACGUAUUUGCCACGGAGAUAUACAAAUUAGCUGGAUUUUGGUUUUUGUUUAGCAUGUCUAAUGCCGUACUUAACUUUAUAACACAUGAUUAAUGCCUCACAAUCACUAAGUGCGUUUCCCGCCUU